CCUACCCACAAUCCACCCCUACCCACAGCCCACCCCUACUCACAGCCCACCCCUACCCACAGCCCUGCCCAUAAGACAUCACCAUGCCCUGAGCUCAGUCUUCAGACUCCAUGAAGGUUCCCAUUAACUGACAGCCAGCCUCUCUUUCUGCUGCAUGCUCCAACAGGGCCUUCCCUUCCUACCCCUUUCUCCCCUUCCCCUAGCUCCCUGAAGAGGCUCUACCUUGCAUUCCCUGUCCUCUCCCAAGUGUCCUCUGUGUCCUAUCCCACGCCUCCCUCGGAACAUUUGCCACACUGUAUUGGUCACCAGGGCCAUCAGCGGAACUCACUGAAAGUCCAGGAAUGGCAAACGUUCCGUUGGCUGACUUGAACUUAAGGCUUUGUUCUCUUCCUGCCCCUCUGGAAUCCAGCAGUACGGAGUGUAUCCCACUACGACCAGCGGCCUGCGGCAGGGAGCUCUCUCAGUGCUCCAAGGCUGUCCGAUUUCCUCACCACAGCCCUUCUCACUUCACCUGUGGGUUCCAAGGAGCCCAGCGCAAGCCUUGGGCUUUCAAUCCAAUGGCCCCAGAAAAACCCGGUGAGUUUUUGGUGUUUGAGUAAAUUCAGUAGGUGUUUGCCCAGCAACUCAGCCAUGUCAGGCUGCUGUGUGAGUUCCAAGAAAGCUUAUUUAUUUCUACAGUGGUCCUUGGUCACAGUCUGUCUUCUGUUCUCUCUCCCUCAAUAGUAUUGUCAGAGCUAAUUAGGGAAAAUCAGGUAAGUUAGCUGCAUUCAGUAUUUUAAAAUGGUCUCGUUGUCUGUGAGAUUUCAGGAUAAUCAGCAAACGAGUAAAGGCCUGGAGAAUUCCUCUCAAGGCAGCUCUUGAGAGACUCGUCUGUCCAGUUCUCUCUGUUCAGCCUGAGGGACAGCCCUUUUAACUAGGAUGGAGAGCACCUCGAAAUGCCCCAAGUUAAGGCAAACCUGUGACCAUCUUGGUUUCGCAGAGAGUAUAUGUGCAGGUUUAGGCUCCCUACACAAGGACGUCUCUCCCCUAAGCAACGAGGGACUGCGAACAGCAUCGCCUGAUGGGACUCCGUGGACUACUCUUUCCACGUCUGGGGCUGUGCUUGGGAAUGCUUUCCAUGCACAAAGAGGAAGACCCGACAAGACGGCUCUGAUAAGUAAAGACUGGCUGACGCAGGGCAGGGGUGGUAGGCUGAACUGUGAGUACGCUGAAGUCCUCACUGAUUUGGAAACAGUAGGUGAAGUUAUCUAGGGCGGUGUGGGCCCUACACGUCUGACAUCCUUAUUCGAUAGAGGUGUGAGGACAGGCCAGGCUAACCUGUGUGACUCUGAAGGCCGCUUAGAGCAGUGCUGACACAGGCCAAAGAGCACAAGCCGUGAGAGCAGGAAGGAGGCAAGAAGGGGCGGGGCUCCUCUGCCAAGAGGGGGCGUGGCCUUGGGUUCCUUGGCUCCUCAACCUCCAGCCUCUAGAGUGGGGGAUACAGUGAGGUCUCCUGGGUUUUCAUAGCUCAGUUUUAGUUGUGGCUGUGGCUCCAGGAUGGCCCCAAGGACACACCGGUUGAGAAAAGAGACUGGCUAGACGCUAAUUUCUUCCUGGGUUCAUGAUGAUAGGACACGAUCCAGCUGUCAACCACCUGGAAGUCGCCUGGUCUCACUAGCAGAACUCAAGCAUCAGGCCUGUGAACAUCAGGUCAAGGACAAGGUGGUUAAGAGCGGUUAUGCUGCAGGCUCGGCGUCUCGAGGCUACGGAAGCCACGGGUCGUUCACGCAAGAGUUCCAGGGCAAGGAGCAGCAUGGCUGGUGACGGCAGGGAGGGGCCGGUCUGUAAGCUGUGGAGUUCUCUGUGUGUGGACAGGAGCCCCGGACACAGGCCAACAGUACACCCCGGUAUACUUCUCGUCACUCUCAGCCAAGGAAGCAGGGCUCAGUGGAACUUGGAGGGAGGUAGGGCCGGCCCGCAGCGUCUCCCCACCUGGCUGGUCCAGAUGGGUCACACGGAAAAGGAACCGCCGAGACCCUUUCCGAGUUCACAUGAGGUGGUCUGUUCUCCGUGGGAUAUGAAAAAUGCCGUUCUUGGUGUAAAACGAAUUUGCGAUGGGGUGCGUUUUGGCAUGAGCUGGAGUCCUGAAGUCCUUGGCAUCCCCUGGAACACAGCAGAGGCCUGGGUGAACAGGGGUCGCCACCAUCCUCCUGCUAGAACUUCCCCACCUAAAGGGCCGAGGGUCAGCGGUGACGUGUUACCACAUGGGGGAGACUCUUCCGUCAGUCAGGGAUAGCUGUCGCCUCUCAGUGCCCCUGGCCCCUUCCCGAGGAUGCUCAGAACUCCUCGUGGCCCCACAGCUAAAGGCUAAUGUGUGCACAGCGUGGAACCUCAAACCUUGCACAGGACCCCAUCAGGGUCUGUUCGGGCCAGCGCUCAAGUCAUUCCAACGGUUACCCAGCUGGGCCCUGCACCUAACUCCAAGCUCACCUGCCUUUGUCAGGACUGUGUCACUGUAUAGUAAGAUUUCUAGGGGCUGCCCAAGGCCAAACUAACUCCUCAGAUGCCCACCGCUGCAAAUCCUGCCUGCCGCGCCAGGAGUAACAACCAUAACUUAAUAAUAACAAACUAAUAAAUACAAUGUUUGUUCCUA
Mesocricetus auratus (golden hamster) is the source of this 2632-nucleotide long non-coding RNA. RefSeq lists it as uncharacterized. The record is from RefSeq and is a predicted model, not a curated record. The transcript is spliced from 3 exons. Lineage: Eukaryota; Metazoa; Chordata; Mammalia; Rodentia; Cricetidae.